UGUCGCUCUCUACAAAAUGUACAUAAGUUAGCAAGCUACACUACACCGAGGAGACAUGUGUGCCUCAUUUCGAAUUAAUUUCCUAACCGCGUGUUCCGAGUUUACGAGCAAAAUGACGAACCGGGACGGAGACAUAGGUCACCACCCACAGAGGCAGAGAGGACCAGGGACAGGUGACAGGACACUGACCCAGUGGACGAAGCUCUGCUGAUUAACACCAGAUGUGAGCGGCUCAGAGUGUCGGCGAUAGCCUGAGAGGGCCCCACUCUACUCCAUUCGGCCCUGGCUUGUAAAAGGUGCCCGAGCGCCUUCUUCACACAUGGCUGACAAUAAUAUCUGUGGUGUUCAUCCCCCAGAUCCACAGGAAGCUCAAGACAUCAGGCAGCCUGACACCCAACGCAGCCGCCCUCUCUGGAUUUGCAGCAUUAGCAGCAGACGUGAAUCAUCGUCGGGAUGUAGAGCAGAUGGAGACGCGGAGGGAUGGCUUUGGGAAGGACAGUCGGGAAGACGGGGGCUAUUCUGUGAAGACCUCCCCCGAUGCCGGUGGAUGGUAGGGAAUAAUUGGAGCUUGCCAUAGGAGCCGAGACUGGCCGCCACGCCGACGCCGAGAUCUGAAGUUGCAGAGAAUCGCGGCAGUUUUGCAGGGGUCGUGACGUGAGGCCCCUGGUACCGCGGACAACGAAUAACGCUGCAGCCAAUGACGUAAUAAAGCAUCUGAAUCUGAGCUGCUCAUCGUGAACAAUAAUCUGUCGGCGUCUUGCCAACAGAGCAAGUUCAUCUUCGAGCUGGAGCUGGGUCAUCGCGCCACGCAGGUAAACAAGGCCCACACUCCUCUGUGACUCGUGUACAGGUCUCAGGUUCUCUGCUGUUUGUGACUGCACGUUUUGUGAAGAGUGUGAGGCCCCCCCCCCCCCCUUAAAUGUGUUGAAGAACAACCGUGCAGCUCCCUUCCUCCCUCUCUCGCUUUAUAUUCCACGCAACAAACUUUUUUUCUUUUUUUUAAAACAUGCAAAGCCCCUGAAAUCUCCUGCACGCGACCUGGUGCUCGUGCGCGGCGCGGCGCGGCGCAGGAGCCGGGGCAGGUGCAAGUUGGGGCGCGAGGACCCGCUGCAACUCGGGGCUCGUGCUCCCCAGAGUGCAGACUCACACAAAAAGAAGAGAGAGAGAAAGAGAGAGAGAGAGAGAGAGAGAGAGAGAAAAGAAGAAGAAAAGAAAAGGGGAGCAAAAUCAAAAGAGACGUGGAGUCUGACUGAAUUAACUGCGCUUGUUUCAGUGUUUCAAAUCGCCAGAGCGAAACAAAUAUCGACAGCACAUAAUAGUCCUCCACGGAAAUAAAAGGUUCACUCUUAUAACGAAUAAUCUAUUAAUGCUUUUAUGGUUUCUUAAAAUAUUUUCUGACUCAUAAUCCCUACAAGUAGAGAUUUUUUUAAAGAUCAAAAUCUCUCUUUUUGUUUGUCUACUCUUUGAAAGUGAGUUUGACUUUUGAUGGUUGUCUAUGUAUAUGUUUAGAACGUGUUGGCUAUAGGCUCUUUUCAAUAUUACAAUAACAAGCUAAAUGCAAACACGUUCACCUACACUUGACUCAACAUUUAUGCCUUGUAAUUAAUUGGAAUAUAAUUAGCCUCGUGGACAACUGUGACUGUUGUCACAGUUGUAUUAUUAGUAGUAUUAGGAGUAUUGUUGUUGUUAUUAUUGUUAUUAUGUAAAAACAGACAUCUGUAUCAAUAAAUCAAAUUCACAGUA
Long non-coding RNA from Scophthalmus maximus (turbot), 1743 nucleotides. RefSeq lists it as uncharacterized. NCBI's taxonomy places the organism in Eukaryota, Metazoa, Chordata, Actinopteri, Pleuronectiformes, Scophthalmidae. The record is from RefSeq and is a predicted model, not a curated record. The transcript is spliced from 7 exons.